Daucus carota subsp. sativus is the source of this 96-nucleotide non-coding RNA. The record is from Rfam. NCBI's taxonomy places the organism in Eukaryota, Viridiplantae, Streptophyta, Magnoliopsida, Apiales, Apiaceae.
UUGCCGAGGAGGAAACAAGAAUUAAAAGAACACCAUCUUUCGGGACUGAACGGGCCUUCGGGCUCUUUGUUGACUAAUUCUGCAAUUCUGAGGCUU